GGGCGCAGCCUGGAUCCAGCCAUACCGCGUGGGUGAAGAAGGCCUUCGGGUUGUAAAGCCCUUUUGUUGGGAAAGAAAUCCAGCUGGCUAAUACCCGGUUGGGAUGACGGUACCCAAAGAAUAAGCACCGGCUAACUUCGUGCCAGCAGCCGCGGUAAUACGAA
This 164-nucleotide ribosomal RNA is filed under the name Stenotrophomonas maltophilia. RNAcentral's name for it is "partial 16S ribosomal RNA". It matches the Rfam family "Bacterial small subunit ribosomal RNA", at positions 373 to 529 of the family's 1533-position model. Lineage: Bacteria; Pseudomonadati; Pseudomonadota; Gammaproteobacteria; Lysobacterales; Lysobacteraceae. The record is from RNAcentral.